This 384-nucleotide ribosomal RNA is filed under the name Triticum aestivum (bread wheat). RNAcentral describes it as "partial small subunit ribosomal RNA". Lineage: Eukaryota; Viridiplantae; Streptophyta; Magnoliopsida; Poales; Poaceae. The record is from RNAcentral.
AUGAAGUCUCUACAAUUUACUCUGUAUUCUGUACAACCUGUGGCUUCAGUUAUAAGCACAAGUCAACAACGUAUGGAGUGGACACACCGAUCAUCUGGCGAUCAAACCAAUAAAGAAUUAAUAGUCACACCCGUGGCUCGCGAUGCACCGAUCAAUGGCACACGAUGGUCUCGAAGCAGUCAAUCCCGUCGAACUCUGGCGCGAACCGCAGCCGCGGCGGCGAGGGCGACUGUGAUUUCCUCUUGCCCGGCUGAUGCUCUGUUUCCCCCUGCAGACCGCCCUGUUUUCUCUGUUGCCCAGCUCCAGCCUGGUCGUCCUUCUGCAGCUUCCUCCCCCGCCAGGAGAGCCGAGCCCAGGUGCUGCCGGCUCCGGCGCCGGGGGUGA